UGCCCUAGUAACGGCGAGUGAAGCGGCAACAGCUCAAAUUUGAAAUCUGGCUCUCGGGCCCGAGUUGUAAUUUGUAGAGGAUACUUUUGAUGCGGUGCCUUCCGAGUUCCCUGGAACGGGACGCCAUAGAGGGUGAGAGCCCCGUCUGGUUGGAUGCCAAAUCUCUGUAAAGUUCCUUCGACGAGUCGAGUAGUUUGGGAAUGCUGCUCUAAAUGGGAGGUAUAUGUCUUCUAAAGCUAAAUACCGGCCAGAGACCGAUAGCGCACAAGUAGAGUGAUCGAAAGAUGAAAAGCACUUUGAAAAGAGAGUUAAAAAGUACGUGAAAUUGUUGAAAGGGAAGCGUUUAUGACCAGACUUGGGCUUGGUUAAUCAUCUGGGGUUCUCCCCAGUGCACUUUUCCAGUCCAGGCCAGCAUCAGUUUUCCCCGGGGGAUAAAGACUUCGGGAAUGUGGCUCUCUUCGGGGAGUGUUAUAGCCCGUUGUGUAAUACCCUGGGGGGGACUGAGGUUCGCGCAUCUGCAAGGAUGCUGGCGUAAUGGUCAUCAACGACCCGUCUUGAAACACGGACCAAGGAGUCGUCUUCGUAUGCGAGUGUUCGGGUGUCAAACCCCUACGCGUAAUGAAAGUGAACGCAGGUGAGAGCUUCGGCGCAUCAUCGACCGAUCCUGAUGUUCUCGGAUGGAUUUGAGUAAGAGCAUACGGGGCCGGACCCGAAAGAAGGUGAACUAUGCCUGUAUAGGGUGAAGCCAGAGGAAACUCUGGUGGAGGCUCGCAGCGGUUCUGACGUGCAAAUCGAUCGUCAAAUAUGGGCAUG
This 813-nucleotide ribosomal RNA is filed under the name Fusarium sacchari. Its description in RNAcentral is "eukaryotic LSU rRNA". It matches the Rfam family "Eukaryotic large subunit ribosomal RNA", at positions 76 to 919 of the family's 3401-position model. The record is from RNAcentral. Lineage: Eukaryota; Fungi; Ascomycota; Sordariomycetes; Hypocreales; Nectriaceae. RNAcentral also lists the same sequence under 2 other names.